This 309-nucleotide ribosomal RNA is filed under the name uncultured eukaryote. RNAcentral's name for it is "partial 18S ribosomal RNA". It matches the Rfam family "Eukaryotic small subunit ribosomal RNA", at positions 1470 to 1796 of the family's 1831-position model. The record is from RNAcentral.
CCCUUAGAUGUUCUGGGCGGCCCGCGCACUACAUUGGCACUGGCAACAAGAUCCUAGAUCUGGUAUUUCGGGGUAUUCUACCAACUGGUGUCGUGACUGGGAUCAACCCCUGCAAUUAUUGGUUAUGAACGAGGAAUUCCUUGUAAUCACGGUUUAUCAACCCGUGUUGAAUGCGUCCCUGCCCUUUGUACACACCGCCCGUCGCUCCUACCGAUGAAUCGUCCGGUGAAGUUCAUGGAGUCGCGGCUGCUCCAGCUGUUUUCGAAGUGAAAUGGACCUCAUGAUUUAGAGGAAGGAGAAGUCGUAACA